GACGAACGCUGGCGGCGUGCUUAACACAUGCAAGUCGAGCGAUGAAACACCUUCGGGUGCGGAUUAGCGGCGAACGGGUGAGGAACACGUGAGGAAUCUGCCUUCCACUCUGGGAUAACUCCGGGAAACCGGGGCUAAUACCGGAUACUUUCAACUGGCUGCAUCGCCGGUUGAAGAAAGAUUUUCGGUGGAAGAUGACCUCGCGGCCUAUAAGCUUGUUGGUGAGGUAAAGGCUCUCCAAGGCGACCACGGGUAGCCGGCCUGGCGCGGGCGACCGGCCACACUAGGACUGAGACACGGCCCAGACUCCUACUGGAGGCAGCAGUGGGGAAUAUUGGGCAAUGGAGGAAACUCUGACCCAGCGACGCCGCGUGAGGGAUGAAGGCCUUCGGGUUGUAAACCUCUUUCAGCAGGGAAUAAGCGAAAGUGAAGUUACCUGCAGAAGAAGCACCGGCUAUCUAUGUGCCAGCAGCCGCCGUAA
Molecule: ribosomal RNA, 481 nt
Filed under: uncultured bacterium
Lineage: Bacteria
Description: partial 16S ribosomal RNA
Rfam family: Bacterial small subunit ribosomal RNA
Source: RNAcentral